AUUCUCUUAGUUCAACGGUAGAACAUCAUUCUUCUAAAAUGAAUAUCUUGGUUCAAUUCCAAGAGAGGAUU
This 71-nucleotide transfer RNA is filed under the name Phellinus viticola. RNAcentral's name for it is "Fuscoporia viticola tRNA-Arg". It matches the Rfam family "tRNA". Rfam says of the family: Transfer RNA (tRNA) molecules are approximately 80 nucleotides in length. Their secondary structure includes four short double-helical elements and three loops (D, anti-codon, and T loops). The record is from RNAcentral. Lineage: Eukaryota; Fungi; Basidiomycota; Agaricomycetes; Hymenochaetales; Hymenochaetaceae.